Molecule: non-coding RNA, 247 nt
Organism: Pelobates cultripes (western spadefoot toad)
Lineage: Eukaryota; Metazoa; Chordata; Amphibia; Anura; Pelobatidae
Source: the annotation of a GenBank genome assembly
AUUAUAGUUGCGCAGGAACUUUGUUGACUCUAGAGAACCUCGGGCAAAUUGCACAUCCCCGUGGCGGCGACUUUGCAUGCGGAUGUCAUCUGUAUCAACUUUCCAUGCUAGUUUCUGCGCCUACCAUGGUGACCACGGGUAACGGGGAAUCAGGGUUCCAUUCCAUACAGGUACCCUGAGAAACGGCUACCACAUGCAAGGAAGGCAGCAGGCGCGCAAAUAAGCCACUCCCGACGCAGGAAGGUAG